Molecule: non-coding RNA, 74 nt
Organism: Glycine soja
Lineage: Eukaryota; Viridiplantae; Streptophyta; Magnoliopsida; Fabales; Fabaceae
Source: Rfam
GGUCUAUUAUUUCAGUUAGUUAGAACAUCGUGUUAAUAACUUGAAAGUUAUAGGUUUGAAUCCUACAUGGACCA